GGAUCCAGACUUUGAUUCUGGCUCAGGAUGAACGCUAGCUACAGGCUUAACACAUGCAAGUCGAGGGGCAGCAUGUCGGUUGCUUGCAACCGAUGAUGGCGACCGGCGCACGGGUGAGUAACGCGUAUCCAACCUACCCCUGUCCAUCGGAUAACCCGUCGAAAGGCGGACUAACACGAUAUGCGGUUCUCAGCAGGCAUCUAACGAGAACGAAAUGUGAAGGAGAAGGAUGGGGAUGCGUCUGAUUAGCUUGUUGGCGGGGUAACGGCCCACCAAGGCUACGAUCAGUAGGGGUUCUGAGAGGAAGGUCCCCCACAUUGGAACUGAGACACGGUCCAAACUCCUACGGGAGGCAGCAGUGAGGAAUAUUGGUCAAUGGACGAGAGUCUGAACCAGCCAAGUAGCGUGCAGGAUGACGGCCCUAUGGGUUGUAAACUGCUUUUAUAGGGGGAUAAAGUGUGUCACGUGUGGCAUAUUGCAGGUACCCUAUGAAUAAGGACCGGCUAAUUCCGUGCCAGCAGCCGCGGUAAUACGGAAGGUCCAGGCGUUAUCCGGAUUUAUUGGGUUUAAAGGGAGCGUAGGCCGUUUGGUAAGCGUGUUGUGAAAUGUCGGGGCUCAACCUGGGCAUUGCAGCGCGAACUGCCAGACUUGAGUGCGCAGGAAGUAGGCGGAAUUCGUCGUGUAGCGGUGAAAUGCUUAGAUAUGACGAAGAACUCCGAUUGCGAAGGCAGCCUGCUGUAGCGCAACUGACGCUGAAGCUCGAAAGCGUGGGUAUCGAACAGGAUUAGAUACCCUGGUAGUCCACGCGGUAAACGAUGGAUGCUCGCUGUUUGCGUCUGACGUAAGCGGCCAAGCGAAAGCGUUAAGCAUCCCACCUGGGGAGUACGCCGGCAACGGUGCAACUCAAAUGAAUUGACGG
Molecule: ribosomal RNA, 919 nt
Filed under: uncultured Bacteroidota bacterium
Lineage: Bacteria; Pseudomonadati; Bacteroidota
Description: bacterial SSU rRNA
Rfam family: Bacterial small subunit ribosomal RNA
Source: RNAcentral